ACGCUACUAACUACGUUACUGCGUCCAUCGCUAGCUAGUUAGUGGGCGGUUUCGAAUACAGCGUGUUCUUUGGUGUCCUUGUUUAUUAUAUUAGCCCAUUUAAAGACAAAGACAAGAAUACACGCAGUCAUUUUCCUUCUUUUUAAAAAAAAUAUUAACUCGUUUUCCCUGUUUCGUUUGCCAGUUGAAUUAUCGGGUGAUCACGGACCCUGCAGCUGGUCACGCAGGGGUUGAAAGCGCAGGUGGUUGCUGCUACAGUUUGUGUGGCCAACCGUAAGGUCUUCUGCCAACGAAAAUGUCUUGGAUUGUUCUGGAUAAUAAAUUAAUCGAAACCCCCACAUGGGGCGAAUGUUACGCCACCCAUGACACCGGCGGGCGGUCUCCAGGUGACACAUGGACGACAACGUUUAAGUCCGAGGUGGACGAUUCAGAGGAGAAAGAUCCUGUAGAGCCAAAGGAUGACGGAUGUCUUUCAGUUCCUUCGCCUCCCAAUUCCUCGUUCCCAUCCCCUGCAACAUCUUGGUCACCACCUCACAACGCUUCGUGGACCAGGUCUGUCACUCAAAAUCAGUGGAGAGCCAUCGAAGCUGCUGCAUCCCACCCGUACAAGACUAGAGGGCACCGUGGGUUCAGAGCACCCGUUUUCAUGCACCACAGGUGUGGCUGUUGCUGCUGCAAUUGUAGCCACAGGAGAUACCGACCGUGGAGAUACCGACCGUGGAGAUACCGACCGUGGAGAUACCGAGCAUGGAGAUUCAGAGCAUGGAGACGCAGGCCAACUAGAUGCACGCCGAGAGUAACAUCAUGGGAACACCUUCCUGUGACCAUCCAACCUACCAAGUGGUACCAGGUUGUCGGGAGAAUGCAGUGCAGCCAGUGCUAUGCCCAGGGAUGGCACUGUAUGACAUCUUGGAUGUGCCAGACCUGCCAGGUGCCCCUGUGCCUGUUGCCAUAUAGGAACUGCUACGCCGAGUGGCACGGUCAGAAAUGUUGAGCUCAGAGGGCGGAAGUUGCCUUUUGUGGGAGCGAAACGGCAGUGAAAGUUUACUCUCUAAUGAUGGGAUAAGUUCUUGUGUUAGUGCAACUUUAGUUAGCCUGUAGGCUUUUCCUGUUUAUCCGUUACUCUCAAAUUUGUGGGCAACUUGCAAGCUGCUGAGUAUUGUAAUGCAGAAUAUUGAUUUGGCGUUUACAUGAGAGACACCACUUGUUUUUACUUUCUCUGAGAAAAGUUAUUUUCUAAAGUUCCUGUGAAAAUUUUUUUGGAUGGUCAACAGUUGCACUCCUGUUAGUUGUAUAAUUCCCAUUGUAACUAUAUAUUUUAGGAAAACCUAUUUCUAUUGGAUUUUUCUGGUUCUGUUUCUAAGUAAAUUGCAGAAGUUAUA
Long non-coding RNA from Perca fluviatilis (European perch), 1382 nucleotides. RefSeq lists it as uncharacterized. NCBI's taxonomy places the organism in Eukaryota, Metazoa, Chordata, Actinopteri, Perciformes, Percidae. The transcript has 2 exons. The record is from RefSeq and is a predicted model, not a curated record.